Molecule: ribosomal RNA, 396 nt
Filed under: uncultured bacterium
Lineage: Bacteria
Description: partial 16S ribosomal RNA
Rfam family: Bacterial small subunit ribosomal RNA
Source: RNAcentral
AUACGGAGGGAGCUAGCGUUGUUCGGAAUUACUGGGCGUAAAGCGCACGUAGGCGGCUUUUUAAGUCAGGGGUGAAAUCCCGGGGCUCAACCCCGGAACUGCCCUUGAAACUGGGAAGCUAGAAUCUUGGAGAGGCGAGUGGAAUUCCGAGUGUAGAGGUGAAAUUCGUAGAUAUUCGGAAGAACACCAGUGGCGAAGGCGACUCGCUGGACAAUUAUUGGCGCUGAGGUGCGAAAGCGUGGGGAGCAACCAGGAUUAGAUCCCCUGGUAGUCCACGCCGUAAACGAUGAUAACUAGCUGUCCGGGUUCACAGAACUUGGGUGGCGCAGCUAACGCAUUAAGUUAUCCGCCUGGGGAGUACGGUCGCAAGAUUAAAACUCAAAGGAAUUGACGGGG